CAGAGGUGCCAAGCGUUAGGCGGAAUCACUGGGCUUAAAGCGCGCGUAGGCGGAUGUUUAAGUGUCUUGUGAAAUCCCACGGCUCAACCGUGGAACUGCUGGGCAUACUGGACAUCUCGAGGCACUCAGGGGCGAGCGGAACAAGUGGUGGAGCGGUGAAAUGCGUAGAUAUCACUUGGAACGCCAAUGGUGAAGACAGCUCGCUGGGGGUGUCCUGACGCUGAGGCGCGAAAGCCAGGGGAGCGAACGGGAUUAGAUACCCCGGUAGUCCUGGCCCUAAACGAUGUCCACUAGAUCAUGGCGGCUCUGACGCCGUCAUGGUCGGAGCAAAAGUGUUAAGUGGACCGCCUGGGAAGUACGGUCGCAAGGUUG
This 372-nucleotide ribosomal RNA is filed under the name uncultured organism. RNAcentral's name for it is "bacterial SSU rRNA". It matches the Rfam family "Bacterial small subunit ribosomal RNA", at positions 526 to 896 of the family's 1533-position model. The record is from RNAcentral.